Long non-coding RNA from Triticum dicoccoides, 2635 nucleotides. RefSeq lists it as uncharacterized. The transcript is spliced from 4 exons. The record is from RefSeq and is a predicted model, not a curated record. Lineage: Eukaryota; Viridiplantae; Streptophyta; Magnoliopsida; Poales; Poaceae.
CCAGCACGGCGGGGCGGCGGUGGGCUCGCGGGAGACGGCGCUCGGGGAGGCGGCGGUGCGCUCGGGCGCCGCAUCAGGAGGCGGCAGCGAGGUGGGGAGGCGGCGCUGCGCUCCAGGGAUGCAGCAGCGAGGCGUCGAGGUGGCGGUGCCCUCGGGCGCCGCAUCAGGCGGCGACAUCGAAGCGGGGAGGCGGCGCUGCGCUCCGAGGAUGCAGCAGCGAGGCGUCGAGGCGUCGAGGCGGACCUGUGCUCGGGCUCCGCAUCAGGCGGCGGCAGCGAGGCAGGAGGCGCACGGGGAGAUGAAAGAGGAGAAAAUGGAGAGUCGGCCAGGGCACGGACCACAGCGGCGCAAGCUUGCAGGGGGCGAUGGAGGGAGGCGGCGCUGCGCUCGGGCGCCGCAUGCCUCCUCUGCGUCUCCUUUCUUUCUUCCACAACUCCUUCUCUCUUGCACGUCACCGUCUUGCUGGCCACGCAGUAAAGAGAUCGAGGAAGAGGCGGGAGUCGGGUCAAUCGAUCUGUCGCACGACAGAUGCGGCACUCCCUGUUCCAUCUAGCAACGGGCAGCAGAGGAAGGUGGAAGAGGAGCCACGACCUCGGAGCAGGAUGCUGCCGCCUAACACGCAUCUGACCAUGAGCUGGAGGAUAAGAGAAGCGCAUCUCUGAAAUUCACAGUUUUAAACCCAAAGAGAUACAUCUAGACAAUGCUCGCAUGAGUGGUUCCAGUGUCAUAUACGCCAACAUGGCAGUUGGAGAUUUGGGAUCGGAUGCUGCUCCAAGAACGAGGGACCAAGGUGCUGAACUAACAGCAGGGGGAGGAUGAUUCUUCAGGUAACAACAUAGCCCGUCGACUAGAGAAUUAAGUUAACUGUUUGCUUUACUUGAAGCUCCAAAUUGUAGUAAUUUUAUUCGUUGACUAAUUUGGUAUAAUCUUAAUCUAGGAGGAUUAGCACUGUAUGAUAUGAGAUACUGACGUUUAGCAAUGAUAAAAGUCUGAUGUUGAAUGGUUCUUUUCGGAGUACAGUUGUAAGAUCUAUGAUUCUAGCUUCGACCUUUAACUGGACAGUACUAAUUGGACAUAUAAUUGAUGAUUUAUGCACAGCAAGAUAUUCUGUUGUUUUUAGUUCUUCAAUCAGAUUCAUCUAGCCCUUUGUUGACUUUCUAAUUGUUACCCUUUACCUCUGAAACUCAGAAAUCAGAGAAAGGUCAUUGGCAAUUUGGCAUAUCCCUGUCACUGGCGAAGAUUUGCUAGAGAGGAAGAGCACCAGAUUUUUUUUCUAUUGUUGGGGGCAUACAUAAUACAUAUAGAUAAAUUUGGACCAUUUUUAACAGAGAGAUUUCUUGCCACAAAUAUUAACUCUGUCCAGCAGUGGGCAUUGUCAAGGUAAUAAAAGGAAUUUGCUGAACCUAAUUGAAUGAAAGAGGGAUGGCUAAUCGGAUUGAGAACCUUCUGUAACUGAAUAGACUUAUGAACGAUCAACAAUACUAAAUAGUUCCAAAUUAACAGACAUUGCUUGAUUAAAAUACUGAUUUAAGAAUUUGGCGAAUCUAUAAUUCUCUACAUAAUCACUUAGUGUAUUUUUGAUCACCGGGUUAUCCUAGACCACUUGGGGACAGUAUCAUCAAUUUCUUGCAUACUGCAAUGCAAGUUUUAAAAGCCAAUUUCUUAUGUUUCUUAUUAUCUUUAUGUUCACCUAACUGCCAAGAAUCAUAAAAGGAUGCACCUAAGGAGGUAGAUUUUGUUUUAUGCAUAUUUUAAGUGUACGUAUGCUGCAACUGAUUAACAAAACAUUGUUCAACCUUCUAUGAGUCUGCCUAGGGAGCUGCACAGAUUUGGAACAACUUCCAGAACAAGCACCAAGCAUUUUGGUCAGGUACCACUAAGCUGCCAGAGCAAGAUAGCUGGGAUGUCAAGUCCCUAGGGCAAUGGUAAAUCUCAAAUUGCCUGAUGUUCGAUGGGAAGCAUCAGACAAUACCAAUGUCCAGUAGUAAGAUCUGAUUGUGCAGGUGGUCAAGCCAAGAUAAGUGUUAACUUUGUUCUCCAAUAUAGGUGGCUUAUGUUUGUGCAAAAUGAUUAUGAAAGGACUUCUGGUAACUUUAUCUUUUGUCAAGGUUGUUUACUUGGUGGAGCAAACUUCCAUUUCCUCUGAACAGGUGAACAUGACAUGUGUGAUGGCUGUCAGCCCUAAUGAGCUUUAGACAUGUAUCUGAGGUUUCGUUGGCUGUAAACAAGUAGGGUCAAUGAGUCGAGCAGAUCCUGGACCAUCACAUGAACACAUGAAAUAGGUUGAGACCGGCAGCUUUUGGUAACCAGUCUAAGCUCUAGCACCUUGAUGCAAGCCAGAAUAGCCUCACUGGAUCAACAUUCCCGGGAAUAACAGAAUUGGUGAACCAGUUGACACUUGAUCUUAACUAAUCAGUUAAUUAAACCCUGAAUUUGAAUGAAGGGCUCCUUGACUAAUUUGUUCACAAGUAGUCCAAUGAUUCGGGGUUUAGACUUUAGUGUUUUUGGAUUAUUACGGGGCAGCAACCCUGCUUUUGAGCACACCCAAACAAAUUGAAUCAGGGUCUCUGCUUUUGGUUGUUCAAGUUUGUGGUAAAUCAUUAUGAACAGUUGUGUUUCCGGUGGCACCUAAAUA